This is a long non-coding RNA of Cervus elaphus (red deer), 2328 nucleotides long. RefSeq lists it as uncharacterized. The transcript has 5 exons. NCBI's taxonomy places the organism in Eukaryota, Metazoa, Chordata, Mammalia, Artiodactyla, Cervidae. The record is from RefSeq and is a predicted model, not a curated record.
UCACUUUGUUGUACACCUGAAACUAACACAAUAUUGUGAAUCAACCAUACUUCAAUAAAAAGAAUACAGGCUGCAUCUUUUGACUGGCAAUCACACUGCAUUGCAUUUUGUUUUGGAUUUGUGGGUGAAAACAAUAUUUUGGUAAAUGUACACAUUAAAAUUUCCUCCUCCCCACCCCCUCACCGCUUUUAAAAUUCUGGCCCUGGCAAUUCUUUAUUUUUCACUCAGAGCUUCAAGAAAUGGAAUUAGCCUAACUUGAACUUAACUUCAUGAAGACUUUGCCUCCAGCCAGUAUCUGAAAAAGAAGGAAAAAAUACAAAAAUUACCCAAAUCUGCCAUAUUUGAAUAGAGUCUUCCUCCUUUGAAGCCCUAUCCCAUUCAUUAUCUCCUGUAAUGCUUUCAACAGCCCUCUGAGGGAGGUAUUCUUAUCCUGCUGCUCCAGUGUUCAACGGGGGUGAACAGGUGAGGGCACAGGGCAUGCAGACCAUACCACCGUGCCCACAGGUUUGUUCCCUUACUGCCAGCAUCAGUUCUGGUUGGUAAUGGCCCGUGCUGCACUGAGGUUUACUUGUUUGAAUAGUACCCCCGAUUUUCCCCACUUCACAGGUGAAAACUCAGAUAGGUGAAGGAUGUAAGCCAGGCCGCACAGGCUGAACCUGGGGCCCCUGACUCGGAGAACCCGUGAGCUUUUCCUGCUUCCCAAGCUGCCCCUCUUUAUGGCAGGUUAAAUCAUACCAGCUUUAAAGACCCCAUUACAAUACCUUGGUUUCUUUCUUUUUACCACCAUGGAAGCGGCAGUAAAAAUAUUAAAACCAAUUGCCGUCAUCUUUCAGACCGCUGCGUUUAUGAGACGUAGCCUUCAAAUGAAUGAAAAUAAUCGCAAACUCCCUCCCCGUUCCAUUCUAUGGGGACAUUUCAGAUUUAUACAAUAUUUCUGAAAGCUCUUAUAAUAGGGCAUAUGCACUUAGGGCAUUAAUGAAGUCGGCUCAGUGCUGGCUGGUCUCAUUUCAUGGAGCUAAUUGUUAAGUGUUUUGCAUACUUACAAUUGAACUAAAUUAUUCCAAGCUAGCUGGUUUCAGGAAGUGUUAAUUAUAUUUCAGUAAAGGAAAAUCAAGGCUAAAGAAUCAUCCACUUAGAGCUUAUCUAUUUAUGAACAUCUCAUUCUGGAGAUCUCAAACAUAUAUUUUAACACCAUGUGAAUAUUGAGAUUAAUAUUUCUUCACCAAAGAAAGCUUUAUUCCUCCCUUGAAUAGGCCCCUUCUCCCCCCAUUCCAUCCUUCUAGCUUUAUUCAGCAGUCUAGUCUGAAAGUUGAAAGAGGCCUUCUUUUGUAUUUCUGGCGCCUUGAAUCUUUAAGUUGGGUGCCAAGAGCAGCAUUAGCUCCAUUCAUUUUGAGACUGACUGGCCUUCUAUAAAUGAUAUUAAUUAAUUUAGGGGUCCUGCACAGGCCGUUUCGGACCAAGUGCUCCCUUGCUCCUGGGAUUCUUUCUCGAGGUCCAGGCUGAUGGAACAACAGCUCCCACUGGGAACAUGAAAAUCUCAUGGCAGAGGGAAAAAGAGCAAAGGCAGAACACGUGAUGACCCUUAAACUUUCUGCUUAGAUAAGUGUGAAGAAUGGAGACUAAUGGCUGGCAUUUCAGUCUCAUCGAUGAGAUGCAAACCCACAGACACUGGACUGUAAUUGCAGAGAAAUCACAAGAAGGAGAAGAGGAGUGAGCAGGCCAGGGAGAUGAGCAGGGAACUCAGUAUCCUGAGGGGAGGACAGCAGACUCAAUGGCUUCGCUAAAGCAAGCCUGGUACUUCCCUCAAGCAGCCUGCGGAUUGCAGAUUCCUGCCAGGCCCUCUGGAACCAGCCCAAGGGGAGAUUGAAUUUUGGUGGAGAGUGAGCAGUCCUCACCAUAAUAUCCACUCCAGGCUUUGCUAAGAGAGGGGCAUUUUAGCAGAAGCAAGGUGUCCUCUACCCCCUUCUCUGUAUAAAGAGAGGAGCAGAAUUUGCUGAGUGGAAACAGCCAUGCUCCUCUCCCCAGACUUGCCAGGAACAAGGAGCAGGGGCAGCCACGCCCUGGGAGGUCCCUGAUGUCAGAGGCUGUGGAUAGGGUUACAGUGUCACUGUAACUGUGAGGACCUGGCCGCUGGCCUCCCCUCGUGCUAGAGGCCAGCUGGAGUGAGGACACCAAUGGCUAGAGGCCAGAGUUAGAUAGGAUACUGCGGAGUAGGAUGCGGUCCCCUACCAAGGGGCAGCCAGUCACUCACAAGCAGGACAGCCCCAUCCCCGCUGGUGGGGCUGAUGGAAGCUAUGCAGGAGGUAGCUUUGAACUGGACAAUGAAGC